This 301-nucleotide ribosomal RNA is filed under the name uncultured bacterium. RNAcentral describes it as "partial 16S ribosomal RNA". It matches the Rfam family "Bacterial small subunit ribosomal RNA", at positions 509 to 807 of the family's 1533-position model. The record is from RNAcentral.
CAGUCGCCGCGGUAAUACGAAGGGUGCAAGCGUUAAUCGGAAUUACUGGGCGUAAAGGGUGCGUAGGCGGUUGUUUAAGUCCGUUGUGAAAGCCCUGGGCUCAACCUGGGAAUUGCAGUGGACACUGCGUCACUAGAGUGUGGUAGAGGAUAGUGGAAUUUCCGGUGUAGCAGUGAAAUGCGUAGAGAUCGGAAGGAACAUCUGUGGCGAAGGCGACUCUCUGGUCUGUAACUGACGCUGAGGAGCGAAAGCGUGGGGAGCGAACAGGAUUAGAUACCCGAGUAGUCCCUGUCUCUUAUAC